CGUAACACGUAUGCAACUUACCCAUAACUGGGGGAUAGCCCGGAGAAAUCCGGAUUAAUACCCCAUAAUACUGUUGAAAGGCAUCUUUUGACAUUUAAAGAUUUAUCGGUUAUGGAUGGGCAUGCGGCUGAUUAGCUAGUUGGUGAGGUCACGGCUCACCAAGGCAACGAUCGGUAGGGGGUCUGAGAGGAUGAUCCCCCACACUGGUACUGAGAUACGGACCAG
Molecule: ribosomal RNA, 225 nt
Filed under: uncultured bacterium
Lineage: Bacteria
Description: partial 16S ribosomal RNA
Rfam family: Bacterial small subunit ribosomal RNA
Source: RNAcentral